This 301-nucleotide ribosomal RNA is filed under the name uncultured bacterium. RNAcentral's name for it is "partial 16S ribosomal RNA". It matches the Rfam family "Bacterial small subunit ribosomal RNA", at positions 333 to 645 of the family's 1533-position model. The record is from RNAcentral.
CCCUUCCUACGGGACGCAGCAGUCGAGAAUCAUUCACAAUGGGGGAAACCCUGAUGGUGCGACGCCGCGUGGGGGAAUGAAGGUCUUCGGAUUGUAAACCCCUGUCAUGUGGGAGCAAAUUAAAAAGAUAGUACAACAAGAGGAAGAGACGGCUAACUCUGUGCCAGCAGCAGCGGUAAUACAGAGGUCUCAAGCGUUGUUCGGAAUCACUGGGCGUAAAGCGUGCGUAGGCUGUUGCGUAAGUCGGGUGUGAAAGGCGCGGGCUCAACCCGCUGACGGCACAUGAUACUGCGCGACUAGA